Molecule: long non-coding RNA, 1664 nt
Organism: Lepus europaeus (European hare)
Lineage: Eukaryota; Metazoa; Chordata; Mammalia; Lagomorpha; Leporidae
Exons: 3
Source: RefSeq, a predicted model, not a curated record
GGCAGCGGGACUGUAGUCGGCGCUCCAGGGGCCUCCGGCUGGCGCAGAGCCUGGGGUCUCAGCCCGGGGGUGAGCCCUGGACGUCUCCGUUCGGGAGCGGAGCCCAGAAGAGGUCCGGCCCUGCCUUGCCCUCCGUGCCCCGCUGCAGCCCCAGGCUUCGACACUAGGAGGCAAUGCCGGCCUUCUCAGCGCCCUGCCCGACCUGCCCGGAGCCGGACUCCCGCUUUCAUGCCCAGGCUUCCCUCCCUGACCAGCUCCUGCCCCCUCCUCUCUGAACUGCCGGCUCCCUGGGCCCCGCUCCGGCUCCUCAGUGUAGUCGCUGUCUCGGCCUCACCUUCACAGACAUAGACUGAGCAGUCCUGGCCGCCCUUCUGCCACUUACGGAAAGUGGCAGGACUGGCGGCCUGGCCAGCCAGAAGGCAUGUCCUGCCCCCACAGGGGCUCCUUGGUGUGAGGGUGGCGCAGGACGAAGCCAGGGAAGACGAACCAGCCCAGGGCUGCGUGGCCGCGUCCAUACACCCGCUGGCCACAGGGGUGUUGGGCACUUGCUCCGCGCCAGACCUUGGGCUGGGCGCUGGGGUCACAGAUGGGAAUGCGGCAUCUUCAGGGCUGGGAUGGGAGGGGCAGGUACUCCUCAAGUAAAUAGGUCAUUAAUACUGGGAAAGCGACUCAUGGGUUUCUUCAGAAGGUCACUCGGUCCUCAAGGGAGCGUCCAUGCUGUGCCAGGCACCCGGAUGGAUUUUGUUCCCUGUUGGAGCGUAUGCACUUGACUUUGUUAAGGUGGAAAGCUCUCGGCCAGGGUCACUGAGUAACUACUAAGAUUGGCCCUUCACUCUCCGAAGCACCCAGAAGCUGCUUGUCGGGAAGAGCCCAGACCUUCCAGAGCACGGUGUGCAGCGGUGCCUUCAGGAUCGCACAGCUGGAGACGCACCUCCGCCAGCCCGCAGCUCUCAGACCGCUGUGGCAGUCGUCUCGGUGCUGGGCCAGAGUGAGGGUGGAUUUGUGUAUGAAAACACGUGAGUUUGAGCUAAGACUUGAAGUGCGUGUGUUAUCUCCAAGGGCAAAAAAUGGAAGACGGUAAGCAGCCCCCAAGAAAGCUGGAGCGCUGGACCGUAGAGGGCUGGGGAAGUGGGACGGGCUGUGGCCCGCUGGGGAAGCUGCUGGCUGGGGCAUGGGAAGGUUUUGGUCGGGGAUAAGAUCAUCUGCUGUGGGUUCUAGAAAGAAGGGCGGAGGCUUGGGUGGAGUUCACCUUGGAGAGGACGACACCUGAGGCAGAGGCAGAGCAGUGAGGAGCCAACAGCGGAGUCAGCUGGGAACAAGGGGAGGACAUUUCUGAGUCAGGGGUCCCUGAACUGAGUGUCACGUCUGGUGUGGGGGUGAAAGCAGAAUGCAGAGUGACUGCCAGGAGACCUGACAGCAGGUGGCAGUGGCAAGGAGCUGGUGGGGCAGAGCUCACAGGCUUGUGCUCAGCCUGACAGUGGCACCUGAGACCCUUGUAGGGCACUUCUUGGGGAAGCCCCAGCCCCCUGGGUGAACUCUUCCAGGGAGUUGUUAGCCCACUAAUGUUUAGACGCUCGCGAGAAGGUGCUCUCCUGUGUCUCGGUUUCCACAUGGGUAAAAUGAAAAAAAUCCAUCUUAAAAAAAAAAAAAGAUUUAUUUAUUUG